CAUGAUAGUUUAUCUUUGGCCCAAGGAAGAAGAAUGCCUGUGGUGGAUUGCUGGAGCUACAUACAAUUUUAUAUUGCCGAGAAAUUGUAAAUCCUUAAAAAAGGGAUGUAAUAUUUAGGUCUGUUCAUCUAGGCUUCAUCAGUGGACACAAAUGAAAGUUGAAGAGAGAAUCUGUACCAUGCAGUAGAAAGGAGAGCAAAUGAAAAGUUACAAGGUGGCUUGUGCAGCACAAUCUCUCAGCAUGGCAGUGAAUACACAAUGUCCCGGGAGGAAUGGGAUUGAAGAUGACAAUGGAAUGUUUUGUGGAGUGAUGGGCACUUUAUGCUCUUUGAACAAUCAUAGUUAUCGCGUUUGGGGAUCGUCGCUGCCAACGAACAUUCAUGAAGUUUACCUCCAUAGUGCAUGUGUCACUGUGUGCAGUGGCUUCACACAACAGUUCUUUGAAGAACUUGGACCCCAAGGACCAAGCAGCAUGAACUGCACACAUUACUGUGAUAUGCUUCGCCAGCAUGUAAUCCCUGCUCUAUGGAAGAGAGGAUGUGGACUAGACUGGUUGGAUACAUGAUGUUCCACCUCGCAUUGCUUGGAAGGUCGCUCGGUCAAUCCGUGUUUGGAAAAAAUUAAAUCAUUGCAUAAUCAUUCCAAACUUCAUGGCUGUCAAGAUCACCAGAUUUGAACCUGUGUGAUUUCUGGCUGCAGGGUUACCUGAAGGACAGCGUUUAUCAAUGGAAUACUUGAGUAUCAGAUCUUCCACCUGGGAUGCACUGUACAAUCAAUCAAGGUAAACCCAGUUGACGAAUGGCCAUGAUAACUGUAUUCAAACAUGUGAAGCAUCUUGGUGAUUCGAGGGCAAAAUCAGAGGAAGAAUGGCUAUGACAUUUACAUAGUUAAACAAGGCAAAACCAAUGGAUGAAUGGCCAUGAUUAUUGUAAUUUGAAACAUGUUGUCCAUCUUACUAAUUGGAGGCAAAAUGAGUUGCGGUAAUGAGUA
Schistocerca americana (American grasshopper) is the source of this 990-nucleotide long non-coding RNA. RefSeq lists it as uncharacterized. The record is from RefSeq and is a predicted model, not a curated record. NCBI's taxonomy places the organism in Eukaryota, Metazoa, Arthropoda, Insecta, Orthoptera, Acrididae. The transcript is spliced from 5 exons.